UGUGAGCUCGAUGAGUAGGGCGGGACACGUGGUAUCCUGUCUGAAUAUGGGGGGACCAUCCUCCAAGGCUAAAUACUCCUGACUGACCGAUAGUGAACCAGUACCGUGAGGGAAAGGCGAAAAGAACCCCGGCGAGGGGAGUGAAAAAGAACCUGAAACCGUGUACGUACAAGCAGUGGGAGCACGCUUCGGCGUGUGACUGCGUACCUUUUGUAUAAUGGGUCAGCGACUUAUAUUCUGUAGCAAGGUUAACCGAAUAGGGGAGCCGAAGGGAAACCGAGUCUUAACUGGGCGUUAAGUUGCAGGGUAUAGACCCGAAACCCGGUGAUCUAGCCAUGGGCAGGUUGAAGGUUGGGUAACACUAACUGGAGGACCGAACCGACUAAUGUUGAAAAAUUAGCGGAUGACUUGUGGCUGGGGGUGAAAGGCCAAUCAAACCGGGAGAUAGCUGGUUCUCCCCGAAAGCUAUUUAGGUAGCGCCUCGUGAAUUCAUCUCCGGGGGUAGAGCACUGUUUCGGCAAGGGGGUCAUCCCGACUUACCAACCCGAUGCAAACUGCGAAUACCGGAGAAUGUUAUCACGGGAGACACACGGCGGGUGCUAACGUCCGUCGUGAAGAGGGAAACAACCCAGACCGCCAGCUAAGGUCCCAAAGUCAUGGUUAAGUGGGAAACGAUGUGGGAAGGCCCAGACAGCCAGGAUGUUGGCUUAGAAGCAGCCAUCAUUUAAAGAAAGCGUAAUAGCUCACUGGUCGAGUCGGCCUGCGCGGAAGAUGUAACGGGGCUAAACCAUGCACCGAAGCUGCGGCAGCGACGCUGAUGCGUUGUUGGGUAGGGGAGCGUUCUGUAAGCCUGCGAAGGUGUGCUGUGAGGCAUGCUGGAGGUAUCAGAAGUGCGAAUGCUGACAUAAGUAACGAUAAAGCGGGUGAAAAGCCCGCUCGCCGGAAGACCAAGGGUUCCUGUCCAACGUUAAUCGGGGCAGGGUGAGUCGACCCCUAAGGCGAGGCCGAAAGGCGUAGUCGAUGGGAAACAGGUUAAUAUUCCUGUACUUGGUGUUACUGCGAAGGGGGGACGGAGAAGGCUAUGUUGGCCGGGCGACGGUUGUCCCGGUUUAAGCGUGUAGGCUGGUUUUCCAGGCAAAUCCGGAAAAUCAAGGCUGAGGCGUGAUGACGAGGCACUACGGUGCUGAAGCAACAAAUGCCCUGCUUCCAGGAAAAGCCUCUAAGCAUCAGGUAACAUCAAAUCGUACCCCAAACCGACACAGGUGGUCAGGUAGAGAAUACCAAGGCGCUUGAGAGAACUCGGGUGAAGGAACUAGGCAAAAUGGUGCCGUAACUUCGGGAGAAGGCACGCUGAUAUGUAGGUGAGGUCCCUCGCGGAUGGAGCUGAAAUCAGUCGAAGAUACCAGCUGGCUGCAACUGUUUAUUAAAAACACAGCACUGUGCAAACACGAAAGUGGACGUAUACGGUGUGACGCCUGCCCGGUGCCGGAAGGUUAAUUGAUGGGGUCAGCGCAAGCGAAGCUCUUGAUCGAAGCCCCGGUAAACGGCGGCCGUAACUAUAACGGUCCUAAGGUAGCGAAAUUCCUUGUCGGGUAAGUUCCGACCUGCACGAAUGGCGUAAUGAUGGCCAGGCUGUCUCCACCCGAGACUCAGUGAAAUUGAACUCGCUGUGAAGAUGCAGUGUACCCGCGGCAAGACGGAAAGACCCCGUGAACCUUUACUAUAGCUUGACACUGAACAUUGAGCCUUGAUGUGUAGGAUAGGUGGGAGGCUUUGAAGUGUGGACGCCAGUCUGCAUGGAGCCGACCUUGAAAUACCACCCUUUAAUGUUUGAUGUUCUAACGUUGACCCGUAAUCCGGGUUGCGGACAGUGUCUGGUGGGUAGUUUGACUGGGGCGGUCUCCUCCUAAAGAGUAACGGAGGAGCACGAAGGUUGGCUAAUCCUGGUCGGACAUCAGGAGGUUAGUGCAAUGGCAUAAGCCAGCUUGACUGCGAGCGUGACGGCGCGAGCAGGUGCGAAAGCAGGUCAUAGUGAUCCGGUGGUUCUGAAUGGAAGGGCCAUCGCUCAACGGAUAAAAGGUACUCCGGGGAUAACAGGCUGAUACCGCCCAAGAGUUCAUAUCGACGGCGGUGUUUGGCACCUCGAUGUCGGCUCAUCACAUCCUGGGGCUGAAGUAGGUCCCAAGGGUAUGGCUGUUCGCCAUUUAAAGUGGUACGCGAGCUGGGUUUAGAACGUCGUGAGACAGUUCGGUCCCUAUCUGCCGUGGGCGCUGGAGAACUGAGGGGGGCUGCUCCUAGUACGAGAGGACCGGAGUGGACGCAUCACUGGUGUUCGGGUUGUCAUGCCAAUGGCACUGCCCGGUAGCUAAAUGCGGAAGAGAUAAGUGCUGAAAGCAUCUAAGCACGAAACUUGCCCCGAGAUGAGUUCUCCCUGACCCUUUAAGGGUCCUGAAGGAACGUUGAAGACGACGACGUUGAUAGGCCGGGUGUGUAAGCGCAGCGAUGCGUUGAGCUAACCGGUACUAAUGAACCGUGAGGCUUAACCUU
This 2547-nucleotide ribosomal RNA is filed under the name Escherichia coli. Its description in RNAcentral is "bacterial LSU rRNA". It matches the Rfam family "Bacterial large subunit ribosomal RNA", at positions 398 to 2925 of the family's 2925-position model. Lineage: Bacteria; Pseudomonadati; Pseudomonadota; Gammaproteobacteria; Enterobacterales; Enterobacteriaceae. The record is from RNAcentral.